Molecule: long non-coding RNA, 263 nt
Filed under: Helianthus annuus (common sunflower)
Lineage: Eukaryota; Viridiplantae; Streptophyta; Magnoliopsida; Asterales; Asteraceae
Description: sRNA HanXRQr2_Chr13g0612771
Source: RNAcentral
GUGUGUGUUCUACGUCGAUCAGAAGCUCCCAAAGGAGCCAAACCCUAGCUCAAGCUUAUUUGCUCAAAUUGAAAGGGGAAUUCAACCCAAAUCUAAUGCAUGUACCCGAAUUCUUAGUCAUCUAGCCCUAAAGAUCACUUGAUUUCAAGGAUAUUGAGACUAUGUGGUUGACCAAUCAUGUCGUAUGCGUAAUAGGAACCACACUAGCAUGGACCAAGCAUGGAAGGCUAACGGGUCAAGAUGAGGCAAGCAAGCGGGUAUGA